RNAcentral lists this long non-coding RNA (3155 nucleotides) under Homo sapiens (human). RNAcentral's name for it is "non-protein coding lnc-H3F3A-2:5". Lineage: Eukaryota; Metazoa; Chordata; Mammalia; Primates; Hominidae. The record is from RNAcentral.
AGUCCCGCCGAGAGCCGCACUGAAGAGCCCCAGCCUGGCCGUCCCGCGGUUUCCCGCCGCCUCACCAGUCUCGGGCGGGAGGGGCCCCGGCGCUGGCGUGGCCGCGGCUCCCACAACGCAGCCAGGACUGCACUCGGGGCUGCUGGGGCCCGCGUGCGUCCCGGGCGGCUCCACGCGUCGGGGUCGCCCCCGCGCCUCCCACCCCCGGCCUCUCGGGGCCGCCGGCUCGCGCGCCUUCCAGGCGAAGGCCAGAGGCCGCAGUGAGGGGCACCGAGUGGCGGGCUCCUCCGCACCACCCCCGGGCUUUAUAAUAAAAGUCGCCGUUGUUUAAGAGCCAGGUCGGAGGCGCCGCUUUCUGGGCGGUGAAAGCCGAAGCGAGAGCGGGCAAUUCGCUGCGGCGGCGGCCGCUUCCUGGGCGUCGGUCCAGUGCCCCGGCCCGGCCUGGGAGACCCGCACCAACCCCGGGAGGGAGGACGGGGCGCGGGCGCAGCCUAGGGGCCGAAGCACUGCACGCACGGCCGGCGCGGGGGCAGAGGGGAGACAGGGAAGCCUGAGCUCCGCGCUGCUGAAGGCUCCGGGGAUGGGUGGGCGGCGGUGAGGUAGUCUUGCCCGGGCCCUGCCCGCGUGGGCGCUUUCUGAGUCUCUGUCGCGUGACGGAGGCGGGACCUAGGCUGUGUCUCCUGCGGGGCGAAAGCACGGAAGAGAUCCGAGGGCAUUUCUUGAGCCUGGCAGGAGGCCAGGGGUUUUACAGGGCAGGAAGGAACCUGGAGGAACCGAGGAGCCACGUUGUUGGUUGGAAAGAAGGGUGGCCAGGAGCGGUGUGCGGAUGCUGAUCAGCCCACCGAAUGCUCACCACUGAGGGGCUGCAGCGGCCAGGUGUGAGGGGAAGAGACUGCAGAGAGGUGACAAGGCCGUCAAAGGAGAGGAGCCACCACUGGGGAGCCUGGUGGCUCAGGAAGGCAGCUGGUGUGGGUGUGGGAGAGUCGGAUCAGAAGGCCAGCACUGCUCAUCAUGGAGCACCUGGGAGAGCAGCAGCGACUCAGCUCCUGGCACCAGGGCAUACCCGAAGUAACCAAUGAAUCCUCUAGGGGGUAUUUAAACUCCCCCAAAUUCUGUAACAGGGCCUUUUGAAUCCUACACUCAGGCCCAUUCCCACACAGUGGAGUGUACUUUCAUUUUCAAUAAAAUCUUCAUUCCUUCCUUGCUUUGUUUGUGUGUCUCUUCCAAUUCUUUGUUCAAGAUGCCAAGAACCUGGACACUCUCCACCUUUAACACAGGGGUUGUUUAAUUUACCUUUUGCCUUAGAAAUAUAAAAAGAUACACAGUAAAGGUGUGUAAAAGGAAAGGCCUCUUUCACCCUUACCCCACCCCCAUCCCUCCCUAAAGGUCCCUGUGAUUAGCUUGGUGUGUGUCCAGCCCUCCCUCUGCAUUUCACACGGAUAUGCGAACAGUGGAUCAGGCUUGGGUUUGUUUCUUCCAAUAAACGGCAUCAUGCGGUAUGUAUUGUUCUUUAAUGUGCUUUUGGAGACGUUUCCAAUCCAGCAAACCCUUUUAUCCAUUUCAUAAUAUUCCGUAGAAUGCAUGCUCCCCAUCUUGAGGGAAGUUUGGGUUGUUUCAUUCUGCUUUGUUAGGACGAAUGCCUGCUUUUGUGCACACAGUUGAGUAUGGGGCUGGGAUUUGAGGGGAAGAGGCUCUGUUUGAGUCCCUGUUGAUGUGAGGUGAAGGUGUGUUGGUCCGGCACUAAGCAGGCAGUGGACAAUACAUGCUGAGCUGGGUUGGGAGUGGACUCUUGGGAUUCGGGACUCAAAAAUAAUGUACGGCCAGGUAAAUUGCUGGUUUUGCUUCUGGGUCACAGGAAGGGCUGCGGUCCCCGCAGACCCAGAUGCGUCCACUAGAUGGCGCCAAAGCCAGUAAGGUGAGGCGCUUGUGACAGAAGCCCCGACUUGCUGCAGGAGUCUGGGCCCAGGGUCUGACUCCUGAGCUCCUAGGAGAUGGAUGAAUAUUCUUCCUGCACCGCCAGCUGCCUCGCUUAAACGUGGGGAGGCUGAAGAGGGUGCAAAGCUGGGUGAACAUGAGUGAUUAGACAGGAUGUGCCCUGGCCAAGACAGGGAGCUGAAAUUCAGUCUGUGGAACAGGCUGUGAUGGCCCAGAGGAAAUCCAUAGGUGGGAGGAAAACUAUGGACCCUGUGCUCCAUAUUGCCAGGACCUGCAGAGGAACUAGCUCCUGCAGAAGAUGCAGGAUUUGGACGGGAAGAUUGGGCAAGGGUUCUGUCUACUGGGCACUGAAGGUUUGAUGGGGACACUGGGAUGGUCCCUGCCACCAAAGCAGCUCAAGCUCAGGCAGAGGAAAUAGAAACUGGACAAAUGCAGUAUUUCUUAUGGGCACUGCUCUAAGGAGUAAUUUGGAAUCCAGUAGGGUGAUGUAAGUGAAGGUGCUUUGAAACCUCCCAAAGCUCUCGCCCAGGUAAGGAGGUUUGUGGUCCUUGUCACCAUUUACCCAGGAAAGCUUCAAAGCAGCAGCGGCGGCGGCGGCGGCGGCGGCGGCAGCAGAAUUUCCCUCCUUCCCUCCUGUUACUCUCCCAGCCUCCUCUCCCUCCUAUCACUCUCCUAAGUUCAGAGCUGACCCCACUCCUCUGCUACCCAUGGUGGUAGCCAGGCCUGUGCCUCUCCUAGCAUCAGAAGCUGCCCCAGGCUCCCAGGACUGGAGCUCAGAUCUGAUUUUGAAAAACUGAAUGAAUGGGUGAGAGCGGUGGCUUAUGCCUGUACUCCCAGCAUUUUGGAAGAUUGAGGUGGGUGAAUUGCUUGAGCUCAGGAGUUCAAGACCAGCCUGGGCAACAUGGUGAAACCCUGUCUUUACAAAAAAAUACAAAAAUUAGCUGGACAUGGUGGCACACACCUGUAGUCCCAGCUACCUGGGAGGCUGAGGUAGGAGGAUUGCUUGAACCACGGGAGACAGAGGUCGCAGUGAGCCAAGAUUGUGCCACUUUACUCCAGCCUGGAUGACAGAGCGAGAUUGUCUCAAAAAAAAAAAAAAAAAGAAAAAAGAAAAAAAAAAAGCCGGGCACGGUGGCUUAUGCCUGUAAUCCCAGGACUUUGGGAGGCCAAGGCGGGUGGGUCACGAGGUCACGAGAUCGAGACCAUCCUGGCUAACACAG